GCCAUGGGAGUCGGGAGUGCCUGAAGUUCGUGACCGUCACAGGAGCGACCUAAGGCAAGACCGAUGACUGGGGCUAAGUCGUAACAAGGUACC
This 93-nucleotide ribosomal RNA is filed under the name uncultured bacterium. RNAcentral describes it as "partial 16S ribosomal RNA". It matches the Rfam family "Bacterial small subunit ribosomal RNA", at positions 1401 to 1500 of the family's 1533-position model. The record is from RNAcentral.